RNAcentral lists this ribosomal RNA (493 nucleotides) under uncultured bacterium. RNAcentral describes it as "partial 16S ribosomal RNA". It matches the Rfam family "Bacterial small subunit ribosomal RNA", at positions 28 to 507 of the family's 1533-position model. The record is from RNAcentral.
GACGAACGCUGGCGGCGUGCUUAACACAUGCAAGUCGAACGGUGAAGAGACCGGUUUUUGCUGGUGCUGUUUGAGUGGCGAACGGGUGAGUAACACGUGAGUAACCUGCCCCCUACUGCUGUAUAACCGCAUGAAAGUGUGUCUAAUACGGGAUAUUCUUCGCCUGCUGCAUUGUGGGGGGGGGAAAGAUAUUGUUUCGGUGGGGGGUGGGCUCGCGGCCUAUCAGCUUGUUGGGGGGGUGAUGGCCUACCAAGGCGGUGACGGGUCGCCGGCCUGAGAGGGUCGGCCGCCCCAGUGGGACUGAGCCACGGAGAAGACUACUACGGGCGGCAGCAGGGGAGAAUCCUGAACGAUGGGAGACAGGCUGAUGCAGCGCCGCCGCGUGAGUGAUGGAGUCCUGAGGGUUGUAAACCUCUUUCGCGAGUGAAGAAGGCCUGUCGCUUUUGUGGGCGGGUUGACGGUAGCUGGAUAAGAAGCGCCGGCUAACUACGUG